AUGCUUUUCCUGGUCCUGCUAUUCCAGCGACUGUGCCAUCAGAUUUUGGUUAUUAGUGAAAAAGGACUGAUACGAUUCUGCAGAUCCCACGGAACUGGCUGGAAGCUGCUCUGUCAUUAGUGGCCACAGUCUACUACAUUUACACCAUUUAUCGAUCGGUCCUGGUCAGCGAUGUGCCGAGACGCUGCAAAGGCAAAACUACAAGACACAUAUUGAUUUCACUUCAUUAGCUGCAUGGGAUCAGAGUAUACAAAGCCUUACCGGCACAUUGCUCUUCCUUCUCACCUUGAGGUGCAUGAGUUUAAUCAGAAAGACAGCUCUCCCGCCUCGCUCAAUCUGCAGCAUCUCCUGGAGUUUGCUUGCAGGUCUUAUUGGUGCUGGAUAUUAUUUCCACUUCCAAAACUCGAGGGUCAAACACGGAGCCAAACCAAUCAAUUCAACGAGAAACGUGCUUCAUCAUGGCAUGACCUUCGUGCUGAUCAGACUACUGUGGACAGCCUUGGUUAUGAAUGUUGUGUCCUCAUCUGCGAAAUGCAUAUGGAGAGGGAGGGCUAUGUUCACCACCACUGACUUUGUACAAUAUGUAAAAGAUAGGCUGUUUUGGAGAUGGGCCCGAUCAGUGCACACGGCCAUAACAUGGAGAGAAAAACGUAUUACUUUGAGCAGUUUGAAAGUGUAUUAG
RNAcentral lists this long non-coding RNA (682 nucleotides) under Neogobius melanostomus (round goby). RNAcentral's name for it is "lncRNA (ENSNMLG00000023750.1)". The record is from RNAcentral. Lineage: Eukaryota; Metazoa; Chordata; Actinopteri; Gobiiformes; Gobiidae.